Molecule: ribosomal RNA, 468 nt
Filed under: uncultured bacterium
Lineage: Bacteria
Description: partial 16S ribosomal RNA
Rfam family: Bacterial small subunit ribosomal RNA
Source: RNAcentral
GACGAACGCUGGCGGCGUGCUUAACACAUGCAAGUCGAACGGAAAGGCCCUGCUUUUGUGGGGUGCUCGAGUGGCGAAAGGGUGAGUAACACGUGAGUAACCUGCCCUUGACUUUGGGAUAACUUCAGGAAACUGGGGCUAAUACCGGAUAGGAGCUCCUGCUGCAUGGUGGGGGUUGGAACGUUUCGGCGGUUGGGGAUGGACUCGCGGCUUAUCAGCUUGUUGGUGGGGUAGUGGCUUACCAAGGCUUUGACGGGUAGCCGGCCUGAGAGGGUGACCGGCCACAUUGGGACUGAGAUACGGCCCAGACUCCUACGGGAGGCAGCAGUGGGGAAUAUUGCACAAUGGGCGGAAGCCUGAUGCAGCAACGCCGCGUGCGGGAUGACGGCCUUCGGGUUGUAAACCGCUUUCGCCCGUGACGAAGCGUGAGUGACGGUAAUGGGUAAAGAAGCACCGGCUAACUACGUG